AACGAACGCUGGCGGCAUGCCUAACACAUGCAAGUCGAACGAGACCUUCGGGCUUAGUUGCGCUCCGGUGCGUAACGCGUGGGAAGUUACACGUAGGUACGGAAUCCUUCCCUGUAGGGGGUGCUAAUACAGGUUAAGGUAAUCGCACAAAAGAUCUAUCGCCGUUGGGUGGGCCCGCGUUGGAUUAGCCAGUUGGUAGGGGAAAAGCCUAUCAAGGCGACGAUCCUUAGCUGGUCUGAGAGGAUGAUCAGCCACACUGGGGCUAAGACACGGCCCAGACUCCGACGGGAGGCAGCAGUGUGGAAUAUUGGACGAUGGGGGAAGGCGUGAUCCAGCAACGCGGCGUGAGUGAUGAAGGCCGUAGGGUUGUAAAGCUCUUUGACACGGGAUGAUAAUGACGGUACCGGGAGAAUAAGCUCCGGCUAACUCCGUG
Molecule: ribosomal RNA, 433 nt
Filed under: uncultured bacterium
Lineage: Bacteria
Description: partial 16S ribosomal RNA
Rfam family: Bacterial small subunit ribosomal RNA
Source: RNAcentral